Molecule: transfer RNA, 105 nt
Filed under: Promethearchaeota archaeon
Lineage: Archaea; Promethearchaeati; Promethearchaeota
Description: Candidatus Lokiarchaeota archaeon (microbial mat metagenome) tRNA-Arg
Rfam family: tRNA
About the family: Transfer RNA (tRNA) molecules are approximately 80 nucleotides in length.
Source: RNAcentral
GGUCUGGUAGUCCAGCCUGGAUAGGGCGCUGGCUUGCGGAGCCAGAUAUCUGGAGUAAAUUGUAUUCCAGAAUGGAUAUCGAGGGUUCAAAUCCCCCCCAGACCA